UCAAGUACGAAGGAAAACGAAGCAUCAGAGUCUCUAAGAGUAGACACAUCAAAACAUAUGGAAGUGAAAAGUACCUGUCACCGCCAUGUCCGAUGUGUCAAAGCGAAGAUCCGUGCUGGUACUGAUGGACCUUCACCUGGGGAACCUGUGGAAGAAGGAGUGAUCUCGCUCCCUCUGCCUCUGCCCAACGCCAAGGCUAAAGCUCCUGGCUGAGUCACUCUGUCUGAGGCUGUCUGCUGGGACUGUGGUAUCAAAGUCGCGGUGGAACACUCACGUGCUA
Molecule: long non-coding RNA, 280 nt
Filed under: Manihot esculenta (cassava)
Lineage: Eukaryota; Viridiplantae; Streptophyta; Magnoliopsida; Malpighiales; Euphorbiaceae
Description: long non-coding RNA (MESC_LNC000608)
Source: RNAcentral